GGAGCCAGCCGUCGAAGGUGGGGUAGAUGAUUGGGGUGAAGUCGUAACAAGGUAGCCGUAUCGGAAGGUGCGGCUGGAUCACCUCCUUUCUAAGGA
This 96-nucleotide ribosomal RNA is filed under the name Paenibacillus sambharensis. RNAcentral describes it as "Paenibacillus sp. SMB1 partial 16S ribosomal RNA". It matches the Rfam family "Bacterial small subunit ribosomal RNA", at positions 1445 to 1533 of the family's 1533-position model. The record is from RNAcentral. Lineage: Bacteria; Bacillati; Bacillota; Bacilli; Caryophanales; Paenibacillaceae.